Pseudophryne corroboree (corroboree frog) is the source of this 429-nucleotide long non-coding RNA. RefSeq lists it as uncharacterized. The transcript has 5 exons. Lineage: Eukaryota; Metazoa; Chordata; Amphibia; Anura; Myobatrachidae. The record is from RefSeq and is a predicted model, not a curated record.
UGCCUGACUGCGUCGUUGUGUUAUCACAGAGCCUCCAGCUCUCAUCUAAACCUCCCGAGAGAAGACAGGAGGAUUAUGACAAGAGAAAGCUCCAAGAAUGUCAUCUCUGAUAGAUUUUGUGUUUGAAUGUGCUAUGCGUGCUGAUGCAGGACUUACCACCAUUGAAAGAAACAUCCUAGGAUUUGUAAAUGUCUUGGAGGUUAUAAGGAGAUCUCGUAACCCACCAAAGCAGAAAAGAACAUCAAAUAAGAACAAGAUGAGACAUCACCAGGGAGACUAGUGUGGGUGUGGCCGCGCUGGUGUGGGUGAUAACAUCAACUGCUGCCUAAUCCUAGUCAGUGGGGGGGUGCUGUUAGACUGAGGUCCAUGGUGAGGUCAGCUGUGAUCACGCGGUAAUCCUGUAGGAGAGGCCGGCAGACUGGAGGAAGU